UACGGGGGGGGCAAGCGUUGUUCGGAAUUACUGGGCGUAAAGGGCGCGUAGGCGGUUCGCUAAGUUGAAUGUGAAAACUCUGGGCUUAACCCAGAGCCUGCAUUCAAUACUGGCGGGCUAGAGUUCUGGAGGGGAUAGCGGAAUUCCUGGUGUAGCGGUGAAAUGCGUAGAUAUCAGGAGGAACACCGGUGGCGAAAGCGGCUCUCUGGAACGGUACUGACGCUGAGACGCGAAAGCGUGGGGAGCGAACAGG
This 253-nucleotide ribosomal RNA is filed under the name uncultured bacterium. RNAcentral describes it as "partial 16S ribosomal RNA". It matches the Rfam family "Bacterial small subunit ribosomal RNA", at positions 524 to 776 of the family's 1533-position model. The record is from RNAcentral.